This 498-nucleotide ribosomal RNA is filed under the name uncultured bacterium. Its description in RNAcentral is "SSU rRNA". It matches the Rfam family "Bacterial small subunit ribosomal RNA", at positions 26 to 518 of the family's 1533-position model. The record is from RNAcentral.
AGAUUGAACGCUGGCGGCGUGCCUAACACAUGCAAGUCGAGCGGUAACAGGUGUAGCAAUACAUGCUGACGAGCGGCGAACGGGUGAGUAAUGCUUUGGAAUCUUCCCAGUAGUGGGGAAUAACCAGUCGAAAGAUUGGCUAAUACCGCAUACGUCUGUAAAGGGAAAGCGGGGGCUCGUAAGACCUCGCGCUAUUGGAUGAGCCAAAGUCGGAUUAGCUAGUUGGUGGGGUAAUGGCCUACCAAGGCGACAAUCCGUAGCUGGUCUGAGAGGACGACCAGCCACACCGGAACUGAGACACGGUCCGGACUCCUACGGGAGGCAGCAGUGGGGAAUAUUGGACAAUGGGGGAAACCCUGAUCCAGCGACGCCGCGUGUGUGAAGAAGGCCUGCGGGUUGUAAAGCACUUUUAGUGGGGACAAAAGCUACGGAUUAAUACUCUGUGGUCUUGAUUUAACCCAAAGAAAAAGCACCGGCUAACUCUGUGCCAGCAGCCGC